UGCAAGCUGACGAUCGACGCCGCGGCGGGAUGAGGCCUUCGGGUUGUAACCGCUGUCGUUGGGGAGGAAUGCGGGGGUUCUCCCUUCUGUUUGACCUAUCCAAGGAGGAAGUACGGGCUAAGUUCGUGCCAGCAGCCGCGGUAAGACGAACCGUACGAACGUUAUUCGGAAUUACUGGGCUUAAAGGGUGCGUAGGCUGCGCGGAAAGUUGGGUGUGGAAGCCCUCAGCUCAACUGAGGAACUGCACUCAAAACUGCCGUGCUCGAGGGAGACAGAGGUAAGCGGAACUCAAGGUGGAGCGGUGAAAUGCGUUGAUAUCUUGAGGAACACCGGUGGCGAAAGCGGCUUACUGGGUCUUUUCUGACGCUGAGGCACGAAAGCCAAGGUAGCAAACGGGAUUAGAUACCCCGGUAGUCUUGGCUGUAAACGAUGAGCACUUGUUUGAAGGGUCCUCCAUAGCCUUUCAGACGUAGCGAAAGUGUUAAGUGCUCCGCCUGGGGAGUAUGGUCGCAAGGCUGAAACUCAAAGAAAUUGACGGGGGCUCACACAAGCGGUGGAGGAUGUGGCUUAAUUCGAAGCUACGCGAAGAACUUAUCCUAGU
RNAcentral lists this ribosomal RNA (601 nucleotides) under uncultured bacterium. Its description in RNAcentral is "bacterial SSU rRNA". It matches the Rfam family "Bacterial small subunit ribosomal RNA", at positions 376 to 979 of the family's 1533-position model. The record is from RNAcentral.